GGAGUUUUCGGCAAUGGGGGAAACCCUGACCGAGCAACGCCGCGUGAGCGAUGACGGUCCUUUGGAUUGUAAAGCUCUGUUGUAAGCCAUGAAUGACAGCUUGAGGAAAUGCAAGUUGUUUGACGACAGCUUACCAGAAAGCCACGGCUAACUACGUGCCAGCAGCCGCGGUAAUACGUAGGUGGCAAGCGUUAUCCGGAAUUAUUGGGCGUAAAGAGUGAGCAGGCGGUUGAUUAAGUCUGAGGUUAAAGCGUGGGGCUCAACACCAUAAAGCCUUGGAAACUGAUUGACUAGAGUACGGGAGAAGUGAAGGGAACUCCAUGUGUAGCGGUGAAAUGCGUAGAUAUAUGGAAGAACACCAGUGGCGAAGGCGCUUCACUAGCCCGAAACUGACGCUCAGUCACGAAAGCGUGGGUAGCAAAUA
Molecule: ribosomal RNA, 424 nt
Filed under: uncultured bacterium
Lineage: Bacteria
Description: bacterial SSU rRNA
Rfam family: Bacterial small subunit ribosomal RNA
Source: RNAcentral